This 70-nucleotide transfer RNA is filed under the name Hsunycteris thomasi (Thomas' nectar bat). RNAcentral's name for it is "tRNA-Gly". The record is from RNAcentral. Lineage: Eukaryota; Metazoa; Chordata; Mammalia; Chiroptera; Phyllostomidae.
AUUCUUUUAGUAUUAACUAGUACUACUGACUUCCAAUCAGUUAGUUCCGGCACUAACCCGGAAAAGAAUA